RNAcentral lists this long non-coding RNA (911 nucleotides) under Homo sapiens (human). RNAcentral describes it as "HSALNT0380311". Lineage: Eukaryota; Metazoa; Chordata; Mammalia; Primates; Hominidae. The record is from RNAcentral.
GACACUAUGGCAGGCCAACUUACUAGCUUUCAAGUAAGGUAACAUCUCAGACCAUCAUAGGUUUUGACAGGGGAAACUCUGAAGGACCACAGGAGUUGGAGGUUCCACGUAUCUCUAAGUAGUAACAUACGAUGGGUCCAAAACAGAAGAAAGAGAACUCAAGAUUCCCGAGCCACAGAGCUGUUGAUUGGAGGCUGACUCAGAGAAACCCUGGAUUCAGUGACAUACAGAGACAACAGGUACAGGAUCAGUAUGGGUUUUAAUUGAGGGGCUCGGCACCAAAUGACAGACUUGACACAUCCACCCCCACCAUGGAUGCUGUCCGUCCACUGUUGCACAAUGUCCUUCAGUGUCUAAUUUACAGAUCCAGCUGUAUUUCCCCUUCCACCUGCAUCCCUGAAGUUCCUCCCACCUGAAAACUUCACCUGACCCAAGAAAGCAAAGGAAAAAACCCGGAGAGCCAGCUCAUAGUCUGGUUCACUGUUUAACAGCCAGAAGCCAGAGCCUGCGUACUAGAAGUGGAUGCCCAGGAAGUACUUGUGAGCUGACUAAGAAUGUAAGAACGCCACCCACUUCAUUCAGGAAAGUGAGGCAGGAUUCCAUGGAGUAUGAAUGACUGCACAUGGAACAAGCAGGUUAUCAUUUAUAUUCAGCAAGGGACCUCCAUGAACAGGACAUUUGGGGAGCUGCUAUCAAACAUCAGAACUUCUGACACUGUGCACACAGUCUUAUAUUGUGCCUUGUCUGUUGUGAUGUCUCACUACAGUAAUGAUUAAGAUGAUGAGCACUUAUGCGUUGAUAUUGCAAUAUGUCUGCGUAAGAACUAUCGCUAAGGCAGGUUAUAUUAUUACCCUCAGUGUAUAGGUAAGGAGGUUAGACUGAUAACUUACCCAGUGUCACAUAGGUAGUAA